Molecule: long non-coding RNA, 1452 nt
Filed under: Vulpes vulpes (red fox)
Lineage: Eukaryota; Metazoa; Chordata; Mammalia; Carnivora; Canidae
Description: lncRNA (ENSVVUG00000025825.1)
Source: RNAcentral
UCUCUCUCACAAUUUGGCAUUUUAAAUCAAUGUUAGCAUAGUCAAAAUUCUGACAUUCCACUUUGAGAAACCUAUUUACAUUGUUCAGUUGAUCUUCACUCAAACUUAUUUGAUAGUAAAAAAUCACAUUUCUAUUGAAUACCAUUUCAGUUAUCUAUUGCUGUAUAAUGAGUGCCCCCCAAAUUAGUGGCUUAAUUUAAAUGAUGGGUUAUUUCUCACAGUUCUGUGGAUUUCUGUGUUGGCAGGUACAAGACAACCUGGCAGUUGGUGCUAAUGGGGUGCCUUACUUCCCCUCCACAUGGUUUUCCAUCCCCCUAAAGACUUCCUUACAAGGUAGGCUUAUCAGAUCACGAAUAACAGUGCACCAGAGACUGAGCUUCCUGUGCCUUCAUUCUGUGGAGGAUAGGCUCUGUAAACAGACAGACUUAGGCAUUCUAAAUGGCAUGAGCUAGAUGAGCUACAUCUCAAAAGCUUCCUUUGAGGUAAAGUAACCUGUUUGUUUUCAAAAAAUUUUAGCCAUGUUGUCUGCAUAUCCACUGAGUCCUGUACCUUUAUGAUCCAUAGUUAGAUUUCCACCUAAUCCCAUAUGUCUCUUUUUAAAAAAUUUUUAUUUAUUUAUGAUAGUCACACACACACAGAGAGAGAGAGGCAGAGACACAGGCAGAGGGAGAAGCAGGCUCCAUGCACCGGGAGCCCGACGUGGGAUUUGAUCCUGGGUCUCCAGGAUCGCGCCCUGGGCCAAAGGCAGGCGCUAAACCGCUGUGCCACCCAGGGUUCCCAUCCCAUAUGUCUCUUAAACCACAGUUCAGCCCGACCCUUUGACAUCUCAUAAACGAAUUUCUGUAAUGCUCCUCUGACUUGGCAACUUACCCAAACACAUUCUCCAUGCUAUUCCAAUACUUGCAAAUAUUUCCUGAAAUAAUAACUCUUCCAUGGAUUCUUGCUGAACUGGUCAAGAUAAGCAUGAAAACUUACCUGUUUUUAGGUCUGCAAAUUCAGCUCAAGCCUUCACUACUUAAGUAUCAGUAUGGUCUGUAUUUUGCAUACUCUGCAAGAUUUUAUUGAGCCUACUAUCAAUAUGUUUGUUACUUGAAUAUAUUCUACCUAAGUUCAGCCUUUCUCUUUGUCUUUCUCUCUCUCUCCCUUUUAUUUAUAUGUAACAUGCUUGUAUUUACUCUAUUUUAUUAUAAUAUAAUGCCAGUACAGUAACUCUUGGACUCUAACCUAAUAGGUGGAAGGCGUCACAUUUGAAAUGCUUGUUGUAAAUGCCCGAAGUCAAAUCCGCUGCUUCAGUGCCAGAGGAAUACUUGGUGGUGAUGACUCGAUCAAUAUCCUCAGGACACUGGCUCCUGGUAAUAUUGCUUAAACAUUUUGCAUUAACUUGGCUUUAAGUGUUCCAGCUUUCUUUGCCCAGGAGAGCUAAUGAAAGAGAAACAUUAAAAUGAAGGCUAA